CUAAGGCCAAAGAAUCACCAACGAUACUCCUGACAGUUGAAGCAUCCGUAGACAAUCUUGCUCCGACUGCACCACUGGAAAAAUCGAAAGGAUCAUCAAACCAGCUGAUAUCUUGGUGUACAACCUUUGCAAAUGUCAUAGAACGGAUUCUUUCGAUCAGUCUACCUCCUGCAAUUCCAAAUAAGUAGUUCUGAAGUGGAAGAACUAGGAAAUUAACCAAACCGAUGACUACAUAUAUCAGUGCCCAGAACUCGGAAUCUUUUUUCAGCUUAGCUGGCGGCUCGUAGAAUAUUUUGAUGGCUGUUGAUAAUAGGAGGCCAAAUAUUGGGAAAACAGCUCCAUGUAUAGCUGCAGCAAUAGUUCCAAGUAACAGAAUUGGCAAUUCAGGCUUGUUCAUAUAUGCAAGUCUUCUCAUUGGAACAUCUUUAUGCUUCUCCUUUCCUCUACUGCUACGAUCAUCUUCUUCCGUCUCGAUAAUAUUGAUACCGACAGGCAUUCCUAAGCCCAUGUCAUGAACUGUGAAAGACUGGCGGUGCUGUGACGGUGCUCGUUCCAUGGAGGAUGUGUUUUCCACGGAAUGUUUGCUUCCUGACUUGGAAAAAUGCCUAUCAACUUCUGAAUGACCAUUGUCACCGAUGUGAUGAGAAUGCUCGGGUUUAUUAUUUCCUUGUUGGAGGCGAAUUAACUGGGAGUAUCCUCCUUCUGGAUUUUGUAUCAGUUCCUCAUGAGUUCCUGAAAGGCCCUCAUGUAUUAGGUUGAAAAUAUAUGGUUCGGUAUGCGAGCUGUAAGUUUACUAGUGCUAACGGUGUAAUCAAGUCCAGUAAAGUCGAAACACUAUCAAACUCGAGCUCGACUCACCCUAUUCAAAAUUCAGAAUUCAACUUGAGCCUGGUUAAGAUUUUUUUUAAAAGGUCGAGCUCGAACUCGAUAGAAUAAUAAAAAAUCGAGCUCCACUCGUCUCGACUCAA
Molecule: long non-coding RNA, 968 nt
Organism: Mercurialis annua (annual mercury)
Lineage: Eukaryota; Viridiplantae; Streptophyta; Magnoliopsida; Malpighiales; Euphorbiaceae
Exons: 2
Source: RefSeq, a predicted model, not a curated record